CUAACAAGGAUUCCCCUAGUAACGGCGAGUGAAGCGGGAAGAGCUCAAAUUUGUAAUCUGGCGGUCUCAGGCCGUCCGAGUUGUAGUCUGGAGAAGCGUUUUCCGCGCCGGAUCGUGUACAAGUCCCUUGGAACAGGGCGUCAUAGAGGGUGAGAAUCCCGUCUUCGACACGAACUACCGGUGCUCUGUGAUGCGCUCUCAAAGAGUCGAGUUGUUUGGGAAUGCAGCUCAAAACGGGUGGUAAAUUCCAUCUAAAGCUAAAUAUUGGCGAAAGACCGAUAGCGAACAAGUACCGUGAGGGAAAGAUGAAAAGCACUUUGGAAAGAGAGUUAAACAGUACGUGAAAUUGUUGAAAGGGAAACGAUUGAAGUCAGUCGCGUCUUCCGGGACUCAGCCUUGCUUUUUGCCUGGCGCAUUUCCCGGGGUU
RNAcentral lists this ribosomal RNA (427 nucleotides) under Ramaria pinicola. Its description in RNAcentral is "partial 25S large subunit ribosomal RNA". It matches the Rfam family "Eukaryotic large subunit ribosomal RNA", at positions 65 to 494 of the family's 3401-position model. Lineage: Eukaryota; Fungi; Basidiomycota; Agaricomycetes; Gomphales; Gomphaceae. The record is from RNAcentral.